RNAcentral lists this ribosomal RNA (429 nucleotides) under Pseudomonadota bacterium. RNAcentral's name for it is "Proteobacteria bacterium partial 16S ribosomal RNA". It matches the Rfam family "Bacterial small subunit ribosomal RNA", at positions 355 to 776 of the family's 1533-position model. Lineage: Bacteria; Pseudomonadati; Pseudomonadota. The record is from RNAcentral.
UGGGGAAUAUUGGACAAUGGGCGAAAGCCUGAUCCAGCCAUGCCGCGUGUGUGAAGAAGGUCUACGGAUUGUAAAGCACUUUAAGGUGGGAGGAAGGGCAGUAAGCGAAUACCUUUCUGUGUUGACGUUACCGACAGAAUAAGCACCGGCUAACUCUGUGCCAGCAGCCGCGGUAAUACAGAGGGUGCAAGCGUUAAUCGGAAUUACUGGGCGUAAAGCGCGCGUAGGUGGUUCGUUAAGUUGAAUGUGAAAGCCCCGGGCUCAACCUGGGAACUGCAUCCAAAACUGGCGAGCUAGAGUAGGGCAGAGGGUGGUGGAAUUUCCUGUGUAGCGGUGAAAGGCGUAGAUAUAGGAACGAACACCAGUGGCGAAGGCGACCACCUGGGCUCAUACUGACACUGAGGUGCGAAAGCGUGGGGAGCAAACAGG